UACGAGAGGCCCAAACGUUAUUCGGAAUUACUGGGCUUAAAGAGUUCGUAGGCGGCAUUGCAAGUAGGGUGUGAAAGCCCUCGGCUCAACCGAGGAAUUGCGCUCUAAACUGCAGUGCUUAAGGAACCUAGAGGUGAGCAGAACAGAUGGUGGAGCGGUGAAAUGCGUUGAUAUCAUCUGGAAUACCGGAGGCGAAGGCGGCUCACUGGGAGUUUUCUGACGCUGAGGAACGAAAGCCAGGGUAGCGAACGGG
RNAcentral lists this ribosomal RNA (253 nucleotides) under uncultured bacterium. Its description in RNAcentral is "partial 16S ribosomal RNA". It matches the Rfam family "Bacterial small subunit ribosomal RNA", at positions 524 to 776 of the family's 1533-position model. The record is from RNAcentral.